UCCAAAUUCCCCAUUCCCCAAACCCAAAUCCUCUCACGCACUCCCUUCGCCGCCGACCGUCCGACGUCUCCAGCACGCCGUCACCGUGGUAGCAAGGUUGCUGCCCUGUCUCCUUCAUCCUCCUGCACUCACACUGCUUAGCCCCCAAACACUUCUAACCCUAGCUCGUGCGCUGGAGUUCGGGGAGAGGCCAAGGCGCGGUGAUGGAUGCCGCCGUCCCUCUCAGAUCCGAGGCUGAGAGAGAGAGAGAGAGAGAGAGAGAGAGAGAGAGAGAGAGAGAGAGAGAGAGAGAGAGAGAGAGAGGCGGGUCACCUGCGAGAGAGAGCACUCGUACCCUCGCUCAUCAUCCGGGAGCUGCCACCACCGCCGGCACGCCAUGGGCUACCUCAGAUCUGUGCCAGCCGGUUCGUUCGAAGAGGGAUCUGGCCAUUGACUAUUGGUGCUUCCCCUCCCUCGACGAUCAGCCAUGACUUGGGAUGGUACUUCUAUCAAGCAAGCAGCGCUUCGGCUGGGAGCUCAAGCUCAAGCAGAACGUCAAAAACAGGGGCUCUAUCUGCUAAUGGGGUAGCCGGCAAUGCAGUCUAAGAGCUGGCUACUGCUAAUGUGAUUUCUGGAUUUGAGAGGAUGAGAACUUGAGAAGAACAAGCUUGAUACUACGAUUGCAAAAAAAAAGUCUAUACUACAGGUGAGAGUUGAGACACACCAUACAUAGGCUCUGCAAGCGGGCGGAAAUAGACCUCUUCGUCGAUGACUUCUACGAGGACGAUAUUGACCUAGAGGCUGGAGCUUUGCUACUCUUUCCGGCCAACAACAAGGGAUCGUUUAUUUUUUCUCUCCCCACACCCAGUCCUUCCCUGUUCCUAUCCCUCCUGCUUAUUUCUUUCUAUGGGGCAACAUACUGAAAGUGUUUGUUAAAUUGUUGGUCUCAAUGCUCCAUUCUAGCAGAAGGAUUUUCGGUAGGAAGACAUAGCAUCAAUCAAGGAUUUUUGGGUGGAAGACAUAGCAUCACUCAUGGUUGUAUAGAUUUACUGCUGUAUUUCUGUAUUUUUGCAAAACUAGUUCAGUAAAGCUUGUAGCUUAUUUCAGUUCUUAAGUGGUUUUACACUUAGGCUUGUAUUGACUUACUACUUAUUUUUUCCAUAAUUUUGCAACACUAGUUCUGUAGUACUUAGUACAGUUUUUUUCUAGAAUCAAGACAAAAUACAUGUAUAUCUAGCCGUUUGUAUUUCUACAGUCAUGCUUCUAAAGAUUUUAUAGUUUUAUUUUCACUAUAGAUUUGCUUCAGUAGUUCUGUAACUUCUAGAAUAGUUCAGUUAAGAGGUUUUACUCUUAGGCUUGUAUAAACUUACAACAUCUUUUAUUUGUAAUUUUGGAAUAUUAGUUCUAUGUAGCUUUACUUUAGUUUCUGGAAACAAGAUUAAAUACGUAUGUUUGCAGUUUGUAAUUUACAGUCAUGCUUCUAUAGAGUUUACAGUAGUAUUUUCUGUGAAUUUGCUUCACUAGUUCUAUAAAACUUCUAGAAUAGUUCACUUCUGGAAUGAAGAGUUAAUAUGUAUUAAUUGGUUUAGUAAUUUACCUUUUCGCUUGUAUAGAUUUCCAGCUGUAGUAUUGUUGUCAUUUUUCUUCAGUAGUUUUCGAAAAUGGACUAAAUAUGAAAAGUUGGUUCUAAUUUAUUGUCAGUCUUUUUCUAUAGAUGUUACAGUUGCAUUUUUCUUAUUAGUUUUUGGCAAUUUUGCAAUGAGAAUGGUUUAACAACUGUAGAUUGUUCUGGUUUAUAAGGUUAUUGUAUCCAUGAGGAAAUUUGUUACUUAUUUCUGAAUACAUCUCUUACUGUUUAUCUGCACAUUGCAGAGUAACUCAUAUUGGUGUAGCUUAGAUGCAUUUUAAGAUAUGGCAUGAAGCUAGCUAAGGUCUUCUAUUAUUUCUAGCAGCAUGUGAUUGACUGAACAAAAGAAGGACUCCACUCACAUAUGAAAUGCUCUUGCAAGUUUUUUGUUAAAAAAAGCAAAGGACCAGCGGUGUAGCUAAGGGCUUUAAUUUGUUAGUACUCCAUUUGUUGCUUCUAAAACACUUGUACAAAUAGUUUCUCUUGGUUAUCAUAAGUGAACAUUCUUUAGAUAAACUUCGCCCAGUUUUUUUAGUGGGGAAGGAAAGCUUCAUGAUAUUCCAUUUAAAGCGCCGAGUUUUAAAGCGCUGAUAUCUAUUUGAAAAUUAAUUUAUGUGCAUACCUCCUCGACCUAACAGUAUUUUUCUAUUGUAUAGGAGAAAUCUUCUCAGUUUCUGAAUCCUGAGCAGUAGCAAGUCAGGUGCUUAAUGGUGAUCCUACCAUGCAUAUGGCAUAAGCAAGUUAGUUCUAAAAUGGUCAUUGUUAAUUCGCCCACAUCUGUCCCGCAAUUGCCAGAACUUUAGUGCAGUGAGAUCAGAGGACAGUCAUCAAUUUAAUCUAAUUUGUGGCACUGAAGUAUAGGUGCUUUUCUCCGAUGCUUUUUUGAAUAUAAUAGUCAGAUGCAGUGUAAGUUCAGAUACUUUUUGUUUUUGUUUGGUAUUUUGCAUGUCCUCAUGUGCUUAGUACCGCAUUUAGAAAUGAUUUCAGAUAGAUUCUUCUCAUUGAAAUUCAUUUCUAACAUAGGGAAAGUAUGUAUAACCUCUUGAUGUACAUGGGUUUUUGAGAAUGCUUUUCCCAGGCCAUGCUGCACUCAUCAUUGAAACUUCUAGCUGUGUAUUAGAUAGUAAUCAUUUUGCCUAAUGUAUUGCCGUCUAGUGCACCACAGUGCGGUCUUUCCACCCCAGAGAACAAAAAGAAAGCGAACUAGUGCAGUCUUUUCUUCAAAAAUGACUUUCAUGUGUCCGUUGGUGGAUGUGUUGCUCCCAAUAAUUGGGUGUCUGGACAUGCUAAAUUGUUGCCUUGUGGCCAGAUGAUGCAUAUGCUCCUUUUCCAUUUAAUAUACUUCCUGGUCUGCGGCUUGAGGAGAUUCAUACAGGCUAUAUGGUGGGUCGGUGUGGCACUGAUGCUUUAUUAUGUCUAACCCAUCACAGAUUCUAAUUAGACAUCCCCUGUUUAGUAAUACUAAAAUCCCAGUUUGUUUUUGCCAUUGGUGCUUUAUACAAUUAUUAUUUUUCCAUUAUCUCUAUGAGUGCAUGAAUUCACCGGUCACCCUUUUAUCCUUUGUAGGAAUGACAUACAAGAGGACCCGGAAGUAAGCAUGCAUGAAGAUGGCGGUUUGCGUCAGCUAGGCAUUUUGUGUAAUGGAGCAAAAACAUUGUGUCUUUUAGCAUUUUGUAAGCGUAUAUGGUGUCUUGUCAAUUGGGUAUUUUGUGUAAUGCAGCAAACAAUGAAUCAUUGGACAUUCAUCUAUCAUUUUGUAAACCAAUCAGGUGUCUUGGUGAUUGAAACAUAAAUGCUUCCUCCUUUUA
Long non-coding RNA from Triticum aestivum (bread wheat), 3414 nucleotides. RefSeq lists it as uncharacterized. The transcript has 3 exons. Lineage: Eukaryota; Viridiplantae; Streptophyta; Magnoliopsida; Poales; Poaceae. The record is from RefSeq and is a predicted model, not a curated record.